CCUACGGGAGGCAGCAGUGGGGAAUAUUGCACAAUGGGCGCAAGCCUGAUGCAGCGACGCCGCGUGCGGGAUGGAGGCCUUCGGGUGGUAAACCGCUUUUGUUCAAGGGCAAGGCACGGUCGUUGGCCGGGUUGAGUGGAUGGGUCGAAGAAGCACCGGCUCCCUACGUGCCAGCAGCCGCGGUAAUACGUAGGGUGCAAGCGUUAUCCGGAUUUAUGGGGCGUAAAGGGCGCGUAGGCGGUUCGUCGCGUCCGGUGUGCAAGGCCAUCGCUUAACGGUGGAUCCGCGCCGGGUACGGGCGGGCUUGCGUGCGGUAGGGGCGACUGGCCUUCCCGGUGUACCGGU
This 345-nucleotide ribosomal RNA is filed under the name uncultured bacterium. RNAcentral's name for it is "partial 16S ribosomal RNA". It matches the Rfam family "Bacterial small subunit ribosomal RNA", at positions 338 to 682 of the family's 1533-position model. The record is from RNAcentral.